This 433-nucleotide ribosomal RNA is filed under the name uncultured Coriobacteriaceae bacterium. Its description in RNAcentral is "bacterial SSU rRNA". It matches the Rfam family "Bacterial small subunit ribosomal RNA", at positions 341 to 792 of the family's 1533-position model. The record is from RNAcentral. Lineage: Bacteria; Bacillati; Actinomycetota; Coriobacteriia; Coriobacteriales; Coriobacteriaceae.
ACGGAAGGCAGCAGUGGGGAAUUUUGCGCAAUGGGCGAAAGCCUGACGCAGCAACGCCGCGUGCGGGAUGACGGCCUUCGGGUUGUAAACCGCUUUCAGCAGGGACGAUUAUGACGGUACCUGCAGAAGAAGCUCCGGCUAACUACGUGCCAGCAGCCGCGGUAAUACGUAGGGAGCGAGCGUUAUCCGGAUUCAUUGGGCGUAAAGCGCGCGUAGGCGGAUGCCUAAGCGGGACCUCUAAUCCGAGGGCUCAACCCCCGGCCGGGUCCCGAACUGGGCGUCUCGAGUUAGGUAGGGGCAGGCGGAAUUCCAUGUGUAGCGGUGAAAUGCGCAGAUAUAUGGAAGAACACCGAUGGCGAAGGCAGCCUGCUGGGCCUCAACUGACGCUGAGGUGCGAAAGCGUGGGGAGCGAACAGGAUUAGAUACCCUGGUA